Molecule: ribosomal RNA, 394 nt
Filed under: uncultured bacterium
Lineage: Bacteria
Description: partial 16S ribosomal RNA
Rfam family: Bacterial small subunit ribosomal RNA
Source: RNAcentral
AUACGUAGGGGGCGAGCGUUGUUCGGAAUCAUUGGGCGUAAAGGGCGUGCAGGCGGUCCUGCAAGUCCGGCGUGAAAGACCCCGGCCCAACCGGGGGGACGCGCUGGAAACUGCAGGGCUUGAGUACAGGAGGGGAUGCCGGAAUUCCAGGUGUAGGGGUGAAAUCUGUAGAUAUCUGGAAGAACACCAAUGGCGAAGGCAGGCAUCUGGCCAUGUACUGACGCUGAGACGCGAAGGUGCGGGGAGCAAACAGGUUUAGAUACCCUGGUAGUCCGCACAGUAAACGAUGUGCACCAGGUGGCGGGGGGUCGACCCCCGGUACCGUAGCUAACGCAUUAAGUGCACCGCCUGGGGAGUAUGCUCGCAAGGGUGAAACUCAAAGGAAUUGACGGGG